This 440-nucleotide ribosomal RNA is filed under the name uncultured bacterium. RNAcentral describes it as "partial 16S ribosomal RNA". It matches the Rfam family "Bacterial small subunit ribosomal RNA", at positions 338 to 795 of the family's 1533-position model. The record is from RNAcentral.
CCUACGGGCGGCAGCAGUGGGGGAUAUUGCACAAUGGGGGGAACCCUGAUGCAGCGACGCCGCGUGGGUGAAGGAGCGUUUCGGCGCGUUAAGCUUCAUUUGCAGGGAAGAAAAUGACGGUACCUGACUAAGAAGCCCCGGCUAACUACGUGCCAGCAGCGGUGGUAACAUGUAGGCGGCAAGCGUUAUCCGGAUUUACAGGGCGUAAAGGGCGCGUAGACGGUGCAGCAAGUCUGAUGUGAAAGGUCGGGGUCCAACCCCGGGACAGCAUUGGAAACUGGUGAACUGGAGUACAGGAGAGGUAGGCGGAAUUCGUAGUGUAGCGGUGAAAUGCGUAGAUAUUAGGAAGAACACCAGUGGCGAAGGCAGCUUACUGGAGUGUAACUGACGUUGAGGCUCGAAAGCGUGGGGAGCAAACAGGAUUAGAUACCCCGGUAGUC